Molecule: ribosomal RNA, 468 nt
Filed under: uncultured bacterium
Lineage: Bacteria
Description: partial 16S ribosomal RNA
Rfam family: Bacterial small subunit ribosomal RNA
Source: RNAcentral
GACGAACGCUGGCGGCGUGCUUAACACAUGCAAGUCGAACGGAAAGGCCCUGCUUUUGUGGGGUGCUCGAGUGGCGAACGGGUGAGUAACACGGGAGUAACCUGCCCUUGACUUUGGGAUAACUUCAGGAAACUGGGGCUAAUACCGGAUAGGAGCUCCUGCUGCAUGGUGGGGGUUGGAAAGUUUCGGCGGUUGGGGAUGGACUCGCGGCUUAUCAGCUUGUUGGUGGGGUAGUGGCUUACCAAGGCUUUGACGGGUAGCCGGCCUGAGAGGGUGACCGGCCACAUUGGGACUGAGAGACGGCCCAGACUCCUACGGGAGGCAGCAGUGGGGAAUAUUGCACAAUGGGCGGGAGCCUGAUGCAGCAGCGCCGCGUGCGGGAUGACGGCCUUCGGGUUGUAAACCGCUUUCGCCUGUGACGAAGCGUGAGUGACGGUAAUGGGUAAAGAAGCACCGGCUAACUACGUG